AUUGAACGCUGGCGGCAUGCCUUACACAUGCAAGUCGAACGGCAGCACGGGAGCUUGCUCCUGGUGGCGAGUGGCGAACGGGUGAGUAAUGCAUCGGAACGUGCCCUGAAGUGGGGGAUAACGUAGCGAAAGUUACGCUAAUACCGCAUAUUCUGUGAGCAGGAAAGCAGGGGAUCUUCGGACCUUGCGCUUUUGGAGCGGCCGAUGUCGGAUUAGCUAGUUGGUGGGGUAAAGGCCCACCAAGGCGACGAUCCGUAGCGGGUCUGAGAGGAUGAUCCGCCACACUGGAACUGAGACACGGUCCAGACUCCUACGGGAGGCAGCAGUGGGGAAUUUUGGACAAUGGGCGCAAGCCUGAUCCAGCCAUGCCGCGUGAGUGAAGAAGGCCUCGGUUGUAAGACUCUUCGUGGGUAGAAAGUUGACUUGGGUUAAGUACCCUGAGUAGAUGACGGUA
This 454-nucleotide ribosomal RNA is filed under the name uncultured bacterium. RNAcentral describes it as "bacterial SSU rRNA". It matches the Rfam family "Bacterial small subunit ribosomal RNA", at positions 30 to 498 of the family's 1533-position model. The record is from RNAcentral.